UGGGGAAUAUUGGACAAUGGGCGCAAGCCUGAUCCAGCCAUGCCGCGUGAGUGACGAAGGUCUUCGGAUUGUAAAGCUCUUUUUGGCGGGGACGAUAAUGACGGUACCCGCAGAAUAAGCCCCGGCUAACUUCGUGCCAGCAGCCGCGGUAAUACGAAGGGGGCUAGCGUUGUUCGGAAUUACUGGGCGUAAAGCGCACGUAGGCGGACUGAUAAGUCAGGGGUGAAAUCCCGGGGCUCAACCUCGGAACUGCCUUUGAUACUGUUAGUCUCGAGUCCGGAAGAGGUGAGUGGAAUUCCUAGUGUAGAGGUGAAAUUCGUAGAUAUUAGGAAGAACACCAGUGGCGAAGGCGGCUCACUGGUCCGGUACUGACGCUGAGGUGCGAAAGCGUGGGGAGCAAACAGGAUUAGAUACCCAAGUAGUCCCUGAGCGGGCUGGCAAGGCGCAU
This 448-nucleotide ribosomal RNA is filed under the name uncultured bacterium. Its description in RNAcentral is "bacterial SSU rRNA". It matches the Rfam family "Bacterial small subunit ribosomal RNA", at positions 355 to 825 of the family's 1533-position model. The record is from RNAcentral.